RNAcentral lists this ribosomal RNA (434 nucleotides) under uncultured bacterium. RNAcentral's name for it is "partial 16S ribosomal RNA". It matches the Rfam family "Bacterial small subunit ribosomal RNA", at positions 27 to 507 of the family's 1533-position model. The record is from RNAcentral.
GAACGAACGCUGGCGGCAUGCCUAACACAUGCAAGUCGAACGAGACCUUCGGGUCUAGUGGCGCACGGGUGCGUAACGCGUGGGAACCUGCCCUUAGGUUCGGAAUAACUCCCCGAAAGGGGUGCUAAUACCGGAUAAUGUCUUUGGACCAAAGAUUUAUCGCCUUUGGAUGGGCCCGCGUUGGAUUAGCUAGUUGGUAGGGUAAAAGCCUACCAAGGCGACGAUCCAUAGCUGGUCUGAGAGGAUGAUCAGCCACACUGGGACUGAGACACGGCCCAGACUCCUACGGGAGGCAGCAGUGGGGAAUAUUGGACAAUGGGCGAAAGCCUGAUCCAGCAAUGCCGCGUGAGUGAUGAAGGCCUUAGGGUUGUAAAGCUCUUUUACCCGGGAUGAUAAUGACAGUACCGGGAGAAUAAGCUCCGGCUAACUCCGUG